Molecule: unclassified non-coding RNA, 204 nt
Filed under: Hevea brasiliensis (rubber tree)
Lineage: Eukaryota; Viridiplantae; Streptophyta; Magnoliopsida; Malpighiales; Euphorbiaceae
Source: RNAcentral
UACCAUAUUCGGGCAGGGAACAGCAUGAUUCCGCAACCCUGUGAAGAAUUUGGAAGAAUUGUUGCGCCGCACUUGCAAGCCUCCCGGAAUUGGCUAAAGUGUAGGCAUGAUCUCAAGAUGCUUAGAAAUUAAGCGACGAGCUCUCCGCAACGAGGCGGGGUUCGGCAAAAAGCGAAAAGAACAGUGAUCGGUAUGGCUCCCGGA